UCUUGGCUCAGUUUGAGGGAGACUCCUUUUUGAAAGUGAGAGACAAUAUCAGCCUUCACGGACAGCAAGAUUUGCUUCCAAUUACCAGACAAGCUUUCAGACCAUGUGCUCAGGACUGCGCCUUGCUUUCGGAAGUACAGU
This is a long non-coding RNA of Hippocampus comes (tiger tail seahorse), 141 nucleotides long. RefSeq lists it as uncharacterized. The record is from RefSeq and is a predicted model, not a curated record. Lineage: Eukaryota; Metazoa; Chordata; Actinopteri; Syngnathiformes; Syngnathidae. The transcript has 3 exons.